This 403-nucleotide ribosomal RNA is filed under the name uncultured bacterium. RNAcentral's name for it is "bacterial SSU rRNA". It matches the Rfam family "Bacterial small subunit ribosomal RNA", at positions 355 to 774 of the family's 1533-position model. The record is from RNAcentral.
UAGGGAAUAUUGCAAAAUGGGCGAAAGCCCGAUGCAGCAACGCCGCGUGGGCGAUGAAGGCCUUCGGGUCGUAAAGCCCUUUUUGAGGGGAUGAGGAAGGACAGUACCCUCAGAAUAAGCCUCGGCUAACUACGUGCCAGCGGCCGCGGUAAAACGUAGGAGGCGAGCGUUAUCCGGAUUUACUGGGCGUAAAGCGCGUGCAGGCGGAUUGGAGAGUUGGAUGUGAAAGCUCCCGGCUUAACUGGGAGAGGUCGUUCAAUACUUCCAGUCUUGAGUGCAGUAGAGGGAAGUGGAAUUCCGGGUGUAGUGGUGAAAUGCGUAGAUAUCCGGAGGAACACCAGUGGCGAAAGCGGCUUCCUGGACUGUAACUGACGCUCAGACGCGAAAGCUAGGGUAGCAAACG